Molecule: small RNA, 261 nt
Filed under: Actinoplanes sp. SE50/110
Lineage: Bacteria; Bacillati; Actinomycetota; Actinomycetes; Micromonosporales; Micromonosporaceae
Description: non-coding RNA with unknown function
Source: RNAcentral
GUGCUUCGGGUCUCGCCUGCAGACGGACGGUGGUAUGUGGACAUCCCUGAGUUCAACCUGAGAGUGGAUCUUCCGGCGUCAAGGCAAAGUAGCGACCUGCGUAACCGGCUAAACGACGCCGUGGCACCGCACGUGCCUGCGGGGACCGACUUCGUGAUCAAGAUGGCACCUGAGUGAGUGGCGCGCCUUCCUGAGUGACUAACUGGGUGACAAUCGCCAACGAUCAUGGCGGACAAGCGUGGACGCUGAUGGACGUGGACC